UUCACCCACCUGUAGUCCCAAUCAUUCAAUUAAGACACACCCCCUGUGAAAUCAUGACCAAAAGGUCAUACAUGUGCUUUCUGCUGUAUUGAACACCGUUGAAGACCUAUAUACUGUACAGGUCAAAACUGGUCCUUUUGUGGUUUUGUUUUACCACAUUCUCCUACAUAUGCAAGUGUGUGUGUGCAAACUACUCUAAUCCACUGAAGUCAAACUCACCACAGCUGCUGUUUGUUCUCUGCAAAUGAGGAAACAUUUUAGAGCUAUUUUUCAAGCCCAUGGGAGACAUGAUUGACGGCUUGCACGGCCCUACACUCCUCUGCAGCAAUGCAGCGUGGGAAGCGGCAGAGAAUCUUCAAUAACAGGUAUGCAAAGGAGAUGGCUUUCUGUAAUGGUAGACAGAGCAUAAGAUCCAACUGAACAAAUGAAUCCAG
Molecule: long non-coding RNA, 434 nt
Organism: Siniperca chuatsi (mandarin fish)
Lineage: Eukaryota; Metazoa; Chordata; Actinopteri; Centrarchiformes; Sinipercidae
Exons: 3
Source: RefSeq, a predicted model, not a curated record